Molecule: ribosomal RNA, 497 nt
Filed under: uncultured bacterium
Lineage: Bacteria
Description: partial 16S ribosomal RNA
Rfam family: Bacterial small subunit ribosomal RNA
Source: RNAcentral
GAUGAACGCUGGCGGCGUGCCUAAUACAUGCAAGUCGAGCGAACGGACGAGAAGCUUGCUUCUCUGAUGUUAGCGGCGGACGGGUGAGUAACACGUGGAUAACCUACCUAUAAGACUGGGAUAACUUCGGGAAACCGUAGCUAAUACCGGAUAAUAUUUUGAACCGCAUGGUUCAAAAGUGAAAGACGGUCUUGCUGUCACUUAUAGAUGGAUCCGCGCUGCAUUAGCUAGUUGGUAAGGUAACGGCUUACCAAGGCAACGAUGCAUAGCCGACCUGAGAGGGUGAUCGGCCACACUGGAACUGAGACACGGUCCAGACUCCUACGGGAGGCAGCAGUAGGGAAUCUUGCGCAAUGGGCGAAAGCCUGACGGAGCAACGCCGCGUGAGUGAUGAAGGUCUUCGGAUCGUAAAACUCUGUUAUUAGGGAAGAACAUAUGUGUAAGUAACUGUGCACAGCUUGACGGUACCUAAUCAGAAAGCCACGGCUAACUACGUG